GGGAUGACCAGUCAUGAUUCCAGAGUACCUAUGAUGAGGUAGCAUAGCUCCUAACAGAGAGGCAAUGGACUCUCAAGAGGCAGAAUGAGACAUAUUUUUGUCCAUGACCAAUAAAGGGAUUAUUUUUUUUUUGCUUUACUUUGCAUAUUUCUUACAAGGGCAUUGUUUUCUUUUGCUUUUUUUAAUUGGGGGGAGAAGUGGUAUGUAGGUGGAAAGGAGACAAGUGCUAGAAAUAGAAUUCACCUUCACCACAAAUGAGAAGAGAACAGAAGGAAGGCCAGAAGGAAUCGCAGACAAGCAGGACGGCAUUGAAAUUUACAUGUUGAAUUUAUUACAUACUUAAAAAGAAAAGCAAGCUCUUCAUAAUAAAGAUUCACAGUUUCAUAUACAAUCCUCUCCUUCUGUUCUACAACCUAUACUGAAAUGCUCAUUUUAACUGGUGUUUGUUACAUUUUAAUUUUUUAAAAGGGAAAAGUACUUAAAUAUGCCAGUGACUAUACUAGGCCCUAGGGAUACAAAUUCAAAAGUAAUACAAUUACUAACUUCAGGGAGCUUAUAUUCUACCUGUUUGAUAUAACAUAGUCACAGGUAACUAAAUAUAGGACAUAUAGAGAAGAAAUACAUAUGUGUGACCCUGGCAAGUCACAACCCCCAUUGCCCAGCCCUUACCACUCUUCUGCCUUAGAACCAAAAAACAAGCAAGGUUUUAAAGAAGUAAGGUAAGGAAAAGGAAGGAUGGAAGGAAGAAAGGAAGGAUGGAAGGAAGGAAGGAAAGAAGGAAGGAAGGAAGGAAGGAAGGAAGGAAGGAAGGAAGGAAGGAAGGAAGGAAGGAAGGAAGGAAGGAAGGAAGGGAGGGAGGGAGGGAGGGAGGGAGGGAUAGAAGGAGGGAGGAGGCAGGGAAGAAUGAUGGAUGUAGGUAGUGAAGGACGGAGGCAGGGAAGAAGGACGGAUGCAUGGAGGGAGGAAGGGAGGGAGGGAGGAAGGGAGGUAGCAAUGGAAUGGAGAGAGAGAGGGAGGAAGGGGAAGAGAGAGAGAGAGAGAGAGAGAGAGAGAGAGAGAGAGAGAGAGAGAGAGAGAGAGAGAGAGAGAGAGAGAGAGAGAGAGAGAGAGAGAGAGGGAGGGAGAGAGAGAAGAGUACCUAUAAAAUCUACUUCCUU
Molecule: long non-coding RNA, 1157 nt
Filed under: Monodelphis domestica (gray short-tailed opossum)
Lineage: Eukaryota; Metazoa; Chordata; Mammalia; Didelphimorphia; Didelphidae
Description: lncRNA (ENSMODG00000037615.1)
Source: RNAcentral